This 253-nucleotide ribosomal RNA is filed under the name uncultured bacterium. RNAcentral's name for it is "partial 16S ribosomal RNA". It matches the Rfam family "Bacterial small subunit ribosomal RNA", at positions 9 to 253 of the family's 1533-position model. The record is from RNAcentral.
GAGUUUUGAUCCUGGCUCAGGACGAACGCUGGCGGCGCGCCUAACACAUGCAAGUCGAACGAGCGAGAGAGAGCUUGCUUUCUCGAGCGAGUGGCGAACGGGUGAGUAACGCGUGAGGAACCUGCCUCAAAGAGGGGGGACAACAGUUGGAAACGGACUGCUAAUACCGCAUAAGCCCACGACCCGGCAUCGGGUUGAGGGGAAAAGGAGCAAUCCGCUUUGAGAUGGCCUCGCGUCCGAUUAGCUAGUUGGU